This 1306-nucleotide ribosomal RNA is filed under the name uncultured bacterium. Its description in RNAcentral is "bacterial SSU rRNA". It matches the Rfam family "Bacterial small subunit ribosomal RNA", at positions 28 to 1381 of the family's 1533-position model. The record is from RNAcentral.
AACGUACGCUGGCGGCACGCCUAACACAUGCAAGUCGAACGAAGUAGCAAUACUUAGUGGCAGACGGGUGAGUAACAUGUAGGUAUCUGCCCUUUGGCCUGGAAUAACACGAGGAAACUUGUGCUAAUACCGGAUAAGUCUUUACGGAGAAAGCUUUAUGUACCAUUGGAUGAGCCUGCACUUGAUUAGUUUGUUGGUGGGGUAAUGGCCUACCAAGACUGUGAUCAAUAGCUGAUUUGAGAGGAUGAUCAGCCACAUUGGGACUGAGACACGGCCCAAACUCCUACGGGAGGCAGCAGUGGGGAAUCUUGCACAAUGGAGGAAACUCUGAUGCAGCGAUGCCGCGUGAGUGAAGAAGGCCCUUGGGUUGUAAAGCUCUUUCGUCGGGGAAGAAAAUGACUGUACCCGAAUAAGAAGGUCCGGCUAACUUCGUGCCAGCAGCCGCGGUAAUACGAAGGGACCUAGCGUAGUUCGGAAUUACUGGGCUUAAAGAGUUCGUAGGUGGUUGAAAAAGUUAGUGGUGAAAUCCCAGAGCUUAACUCUGGAACUGCCAUUAAAACUUUUCAGCUAGAGUAUGAUAGAGGAAAGCAGAAUUUCUAGUGUAGAGGUGAAAUUCGUAGAUAUUAGAAAGAAUACCAAUUGCGAAGGCAGCUUUCUGGAUCAUUACUGACACUGAGGAACGAAAGCAUGGGUAGCGAAGAGGAUUAGAUACCCUCGUAGUCCAUGCCGUAAACGAUGUGUGUUAGACGUUGGAAAUUUAUUUUCAGUGUCGCAGGGAAACCGAUAAACACACCGCCUGGGGAGUACGACCGCAAGGUUAAAACUCAAAUGAAUUGACGGGGACCCGCACAAGUAGUGGAGCAUGUGGUUUAAUUCGAAGAUACGCGCAGAACCUUACCAACACUUGACAUGUUCGUCGCGACUCUAAGAGAUUAGAGUUUUCGGUUCGGCCGGACGAAACACAGGUGCUGCAUGGCUGUCGUCAGCUCGUGUCGUGAGAUGUUGGGUUAAGUCCCGCAACGAGCGCAACCCUCACUUUUAGUUGCCAUCAUUAAGUUGGGCACUCUAAAAGAACUGCCAGUGAUAAGCUGGAGGAAGGUGGGGAUGACGUCAAGUCCUCAUGGCCCUUACGUGUUGGGCUACACACGUGCUACAAUGGUAUCUACAACAGGAAGCAAGACUGCGAAGUUAAGCAAAUCCCUAAAAGAUACCUCAGUUCGGAUUGCACUCUGCAACUCGAGUGCAUGAAGCUGGAAUUACUAGUAAUCGUGGAUCAGCGUGCCACGGUGAAUGCGUUCCCGGGUCU